AGCGAACGUUAGCGGCGGGCCUAACACAUGCAAGUCGAACGCGAAAGGUCUUCGGACUGAGUAGAGUGGCGCACGGGUGAGUAACACGUAGGUAAUCUACCCUUUGGCGGGGGAUAACGUUCCGAAAGGAGCGCUAAUACCGCAUAAGACCACGGAGUCUCCGGACGCUGUGGGAAAAGGUGGCCUCUUCUUGAAAGCUACCACCGAAGGAUGAGCCUGCGUCCCAUCAGCUAGUUGGUAAGGUAAUGGCUUACCAAGGCGAAGACGGGUAGCUGGUUUGAGAGAAUGAUCAGCCACACUGGCACUGGAACACGGGCCAGACUCCUACGGGAGGCAGCAGUGAGGAAUAUUGGGCAAUGGGCGAAAGCCUGACCCAGCCACGCCGCGUGAGUGAUGAAGGCCCUCGGGUCGUAAAGCUCUGUGGAGAGGGACGAAAACCCUGGUUCAAAUAGGCUCCAGGCUUGACGGUACCUCUUUAGCAAGCACCGGCUAACUCUGUGCCAGCAGCCG
This 510-nucleotide ribosomal RNA is filed under the name uncultured bacterium. RNAcentral describes it as "bacterial SSU rRNA". It matches the Rfam family "Bacterial small subunit ribosomal RNA", at positions 29 to 517 of the family's 1533-position model. The record is from RNAcentral.